RNAcentral lists this ribosomal RNA (1194 nucleotides) under Polaribacter sp. Its description in RNAcentral is "partial 23S ribosomal RNA". It matches the Rfam family "Bacterial large subunit ribosomal RNA", at positions 1 to 1202 of the family's 2925-position model. The record is from RNAcentral. Lineage: Bacteria; Pseudomonadati; Bacteroidota; Flavobacteriia; Flavobacteriales; Flavobacteriaceae.
CAAUAAGUUAAGUAAGGGCGUAUGGCGGAUGCCUAGGCUCUCAGAGACGACGAAGGACGUGAUAAGCUGCGAAAAGCUACGGGGAGGGGCACAUACCUUAUAAUCCGUAGAUCUCCGAAUGGGGCAACCCGGCACAGUGAAGCUGUGUCACCAUGUAAAUGGGGUAAACCCGGUGAACUGAAACAUCUAAGUAACCGGAGGAAGAGAAAACAAUAGUGAUUCCGUUAGUAGUGGCGAGCGAACGCGGAUUAGCCCAAACCAGUGUUGUUACGGCAAUACUGGGGUUGUAGGACCACAAUAUUUGAUGCUAAUUGAAUUAGAACUGUUUGGAAAGACAGACCGAAGAGGGUGAUAGUCCCGUAUAAGUAAGAUUAGUUAUUGAUAGUGGUAUCCUGAGUAGUGCGGGACACGAGUAAUCCUGUAUGAAUCCACCGGGACCAUCCGGUAAGGCUAAAUACUCCUGAGAGACCGAUAGUGAACUAGUACCGUGAGGGAAAGGUGAAAAGAACCCUAAGUAAGGGAGUGAAAGAGAUCCUGAAACCGUACGCCUACAAGCGGUCGGAGCCACGCCUUGGUGUGGUGACGGCGUGCCUUUUGCAUAAUGAGCCUACGAGUUACUGUUUCUAGCAAGGUUAAGUAUUUAAGAUACGGAGCCGUAGCGAAAGCGAGUCUGAAUAGGGCGCUUUAGUUAGUAGUAGUAGACGCGAAACCGAGUGAUCUACCCAUGGGCAGGUUGAAGCUGUAGUAACAUACAGUGGAGGACCGAACCAGUUGACGUUGAAAAGUCUUUGGAUGACCUGUGGGUAGGGGUGAAAGGCCAAUCAAACUCGGAAAUAGCUCGUACUCCCCGAAAUGCAUUUAGGUGCAGCGUUGAGUAAAAGUUUUAUAGAGGUAGAGCUACUGAUUGGAUGCGGGGGCUUCACCGCCUACCAAUUCCUGACAAACUCCGAAUGCUAUAAAAUGUUUCUCAGCAGUGAGGGCAUGGGUGCUAAGGUCCAUGUCCGAGAGGGAAAGAACCCAGACCAUCAGCUAAGGUCCCCAAAUAUAUGUUAAGUUGAAAAAACGAGGUUUGUCUGCCCAGACAGCUAGGAUGUUGGCUUGGAAGCAGCCAUUCAUUUAAAGAGUGCGUAACAGCUCACUAGUCGAGCGGACGAGCAUGGAUAAUAAUCGGGCAUAAACAUAUUACCGAAGCUA